CUGCAGAAUACGCCCUUAGAGUUUGAUCCUGGCUCAGGAUGAACGCUAGCGACAGGCUUAACACAUGCAAGUCGAGGGGUAUUUGCCUUCGGGCAGAGAGACCGGCGCACGGGUGCGUAACACGUAUGCAACCUACCCUGUACAGGGGGAUAGCCUUCCGAAAGGGAGAUUAAUACCCCAUAAUAAUAUUGGUCUGCAUGGAUUGAUAUUUAAAGUUGAGGCGGUACAGGAUGGGCAUGCGGAUGAUUAGCUAGUUGGUAGGGUAACGGCCUACCAAGGCGACGAUCAUUAGGGGUUCUGAGAGGAGGAUCCCCCACACUGGUACUGAGACACGGACCAGACUCCUACGGGAGGCAGCAGUGAGGAAUAUCGGUCAAUGGGCGCAAGCCUGAACCAGCCAUGUCGCGUGCAGGAAGACGGCCCUACGGGUUGUACACUGCUGCUCUAAGGGAAGACACGCUCUACGUGUAGAGCUACGACGGUACUUAGGAAUAAGCAUCGGCUAACUCCGUGCCAGCAGCCGCGGUAA
Molecule: ribosomal RNA, 529 nt
Filed under: uncultured bacterium
Lineage: Bacteria
Description: bacterial SSU rRNA
Rfam family: Bacterial small subunit ribosomal RNA
Source: RNAcentral